CCCCUACGGGAGGCAGCAGUGGGGAAUAUUGCACAAUGGGGGAAACCCUGAUGCAGCGACGCCGCGUGAGUGAGGAAGUAUUUCGGUAUGUAAAGCUCUAUCAGCAGGGAAGAAAAUGACGGUACCUGACUAAGAAGCCCCGGCUAACUACGUGCCAGCAGCCGCGGUAAUACGUAGGGGGCAAGCGUUAUCCGGAUUUACUGGGUGUAAAGGGAGCGUAGACGGCGAGACAAGUCUGGAGUGAAAGGCCGGGGCCCAACCCCGGGA
Molecule: ribosomal RNA, 267 nt
Filed under: uncultured bacterium
Lineage: Bacteria
Description: partial 16S ribosomal RNA
Rfam family: Bacterial small subunit ribosomal RNA
Source: RNAcentral